GUUGUAGUUCCAAUCUGGUU
RNAcentral lists this unclassified non-coding RNA (20 nucleotides) under Mus musculus (house mouse). RNAcentral describes it as "oocyte_clustered_small_RNA5656". Lineage: Eukaryota; Metazoa; Chordata; Mammalia; Rodentia; Muridae. The record is from RNAcentral.